AUCCGAAAGGUGACCGACCUUCGGGGAGCCAUUACAGGUGUUGCAUUGGCUGUCGUCAGCUCGUGUCGUGAGAUGUUCGGUUAAGUCCGCUAACGAGCGCAACCCUCGCUGUGUGUUAUAUGUGUCACACAGGACUGCUGGUAUUAAGCCGGAGGAAGGUGGGACGACGUCAAGUCAGCAUGACCUUUAUAUCCAGGGCUACACACACGCUACAAUGGUCAGUACAAUGGGUUGCCAAGCCGCGAGGCGGAGCCAAUCCUAAAAAGCUGGCCUCAGUUCAGAUUGCAGUCUGAAACUCGACUGCAUGAAGUCGGAGUUGCUAGUAAACGCAGGUCAGCUAUACUGCGUUGAAUACGUUCCCGGGGCUU
Molecule: ribosomal RNA, 368 nt
Filed under: uncultured Anaerolineaceae bacterium
Lineage: Bacteria; Bacillati; Chloroflexota; Anaerolineae; Anaerolineales; Anaerolineaceae
Description: bacterial SSU rRNA
Rfam family: Bacterial small subunit ribosomal RNA
Source: RNAcentral